AGAAAAAUAGAGAAUACAAUUAAGCUAGUACUGGGCAAUCAUUAGAAAUGAUUUUCUUUUCAAGGACCAGUUAAAUUGCCCCAGCAAGUCAAUAAACUACAUAUGCUAAAUGUGCCUUAAGCCACGGAUGCAUCUCUGCAUCAGAAAACCCUUUUUUCAAUAAAAUCAUGUCCUACAAAUUGCAACAUGCGAUAUGCUUAAUGCCAAGCCACAUUAUUCAGUACCAGGGUUGAAAUACAAGGUACACUAUUGAACAAUCACACAGCUAAUUGCCCAUUCUUUAAGAGUUGUAUAAAUCUGAUUGCAUUACCAAAUGGAUUAAUGCCUAUAUAUUCAGGUGGGGUGGGAGAGAAACCAGGUCAUAAUGCAGCAGCAAAGAAGGAAAGAAUCCAGGAAUGUUCGUUUUGCAAGACUACAAAGAGGAAGAUAUUCAAGCAAAUCAGCUAAAAUCAAAUGUAUCAUAAAAUCCUUCUAGUAGUGCUAUCUCAUAACAAGCAUGCAGAAACUGCAUUAUUAUUUAACAAUAGCUGGAUACAAGAAAAUCAGACAGUAAAAUGGAACAAGAAGAACUAAAUUUCUCGCAAGACCAUUAUACAGAUCCAAUAAUCCACAACCUCAAGACCUUGUGAAUUAAAUAAAUGCUGCAAGGCUUAUUACGCUUUAUGUUGCAUACCAUUUCUUCAAAUGUUUGGACCGAAUAUACAAACAAGGUCUACAAAAAUUGGUAUAUCAAGUUUGUGCAUAACAUACCAUCUGCAAUGAGAAGUUAAAAACACACAUCUUCAAGAUGAUUGCUUCAAUUUUACAAACCAUCAGUCAUUUAUGGACUAUUUGUUAAGAAAAUAUGUCAGCAAAAAUAUGCAAAAAUAAACCCUGCGCACAACCCCAAAAUAAACAAGACUUCAAAACAUGCAAAAAUAAUUUUAAACUACCAGCUAUACAUGCAAUUUUUGUCCUAUAGUUAAUUCAAAUCGAGACUGACUUUCAUAGACAUAUAGAGAGAAUAUAAAGAGUCACUUCUUUAGAAUUUGCCUUGCUAAUGUCACUAUGAUCGAUACUGAACAUGAACAUGCCAGAAGAAAAGCUCUUAAAGUUAUUUCGUGUUGAUCAGUAGGACAGGUGUUCAGUAAUCAAUCAAUAAAGAUUCCUCUGGAACCAAUUCACUGCUAAUGAUUUUUAAGCAACAAAAAGCAAACCAUGUAAAGACACAGAAUGGAACUAUACACAAACAAGAGGAUAAGCACUUUCCGGAAAUAAGCAAAGUUUGCAGGGAUAGUGAUGAGUAGGCAAGGCAGCAAUUCUGCCACAUCUGAGCUGAAUCUAACAAUCACACAGUCUAAAUAAUUAAAGAACGCACAGGAACAGUGAAGAAGAGAUAAAUCUUACACUGCAUGUGAUGCUAAAUCUGACAAAUAAUAUGAUCUGGUAGGUUUCCUGAGAGGGAGUAAUAUGAGAUUUGUGGCAUUUGAUGAUGAAUCUAAUUAUCAUGAACCGGGCAGCGUCUUUGACAAGAACUUUCUAAUUAAAGAACUCGUGCAUAAGAAUAGAAAGUCUUUUCCAAUUGCUCUUUUGCAAGCUAGCAAAAUCUUAUUUGCAUUUAAUAGCAUUGAACUGUUACAAAAUUAAAGCAGUUAUGCCACACAGCUUCCUCGAAGUGGUACAUGCAGAGUAUUCUCAUGUGCAGAUCCAAAUGUAUUAUAGAAGGACAUUGAUGUAUAGAUAUGUUAGACCAAAGAAGGAAACAAACAGGAUGAAAGCUCUCAUCUUACAGAUUAAAGCAUAAAGAAAUGUAUGCAAAGGGCUUGAAAGCAAUCUCCCUAAUACAAGGACUAGAACCUUCCCUUCAAUAAAAACAUCAUGGGAAAAUAUUUGAAAGCUAUGGACAUCCUGGGCCACAAUUCCACCAUGAAAAUGAAUUUUGACUUUUGUUUAAGAUAUCAGCUGCAAAAUUCCUUUUACAAAGACCAUCCUUUUUCUCCGCACUCCCCACAACAUAGACAACGAAAGGCUACCCAAGCAACAUUCCCCCAUUUAGUAGGACAGGAGCCUGCACUUUUUUUAUUGUUUUUCUUUUGGAUGGAGACUAGGACACAAGGAAGCCCAAGCCCAGUUGGAAAUCGGGAUGAGAUUGGGUCCAACCCAUAUCACUAGGAUCCAACGCCCAGUGCAUUUACCAACUCAACCAGUUGGCUCCCUUGGGGCCCAUAUAAUUGAAAGAAGAAUCAUUAAUACUCUAGCUGAAUCCAAGCAUCCUAUCCAAAUUCAUUUCAUGGCUACCUUUGACUCAUUCCACAAGGAUACAACUUUCUAAGUCUCUUAACAAAAAUGAUUAAUGUCUAAGUCUCUUAACAAAAAUGAUCAAUGUCAGUUAUGUAUCUACACUCUUUUCUCUAUGAUACUCCAAGUUCCACAGCUUCCUAAGUAGAUAUUCAUAUUCUUCUGAGACCCAAUGGCAGACCCUUUCUUGCAGGCAGUUCAGGCUGCCAUGAGUAUUAGAUCCACUGAGUUUGCAUUGAAUGUGUGCAAGCACAUUUAUCUUCUACUUCUUCAGGACUAGGAAUAAAAAAAUCUCAUGUCCAAGGUUUUUACUAUAAAUGAAUAUGCUUUCAAACCUUGCAAAAAAUGACUUGUUUAUUGAAGAAAUAUUUUAUGAAAAUAUUUAAAUAUUUAAUGAUUUCAAUCAAACACAGCCCUUUGCCUAGCUAUUAACUCUUUCUUUCCCAUAAAAUUAUUGCUAUUGAUGGAAUGAUAUUGCUUUGUCUACACAAAUUCCUAAGACAGCAGAAGCAUAGAGAUAUGCAAUCAAACGACUAGGCUGAUUCAAGGGUCUGUGCAACUGUCUUCACUGUGUUUUAACUUAUAUACAACCUCAAGCCUCUUUGGGCUUGAGAAAAAGGCAAGACAUCUCAAAUAUCUUCAUUCAGUCCACAGAUCAUUACAUCGUAAACCAUCCAUAAAUAAUAGAUGCAGAAUACCUGAAAUACUGUUGUAUUUGUGCUCUCUUAUACAUAUUAAGCCACGUUCCAAUUAGAGAGGGAAACUGUUCCCAUCAAAAUAACCAACACCAUAUGGCCUUGUCCCAAUUAUCUGAAAUUGGCAUCUUAAGAAUCCUUGUUUUACAUGAACUAGGGCUUGCCCCAGAUGUCAUACCUCUCAGCUUAGCAACGAGAGGUUUGGGGCUUCGGUGCAUCCUAGACAAGGAUUAUUCAGUGUGGGUGGGUCCUCCUCCCUCUCUCACAAACAAGGAUUCCUUAUUUUACUAACUAUUUACAUUAAUACAGUUUCUAGUGUUACUACAAGAUUAUUCAUAUCUUUUCCCACAACUUUUUCUUCUAGUUUUCGUCUUUCCUUCCUCUUUCUAGACCUCAAUGCAGACUUAAACAAAUCUCCUUAGUAGGGCCUCAAAUUUUACAGGCACAUGCCUAUAUGAUCUCAUCUACUUCUCCAUAACUUUGUCCUCUAUUAGCGCAACUCCUACAUUUAUACCUAUAUCCAUCUCAACAUUCUCAUUUUUGAUAGUUCAUGUAUACUUAGAUUCUUUUCAUUACUCAAAAUUCUAAACUAUACAAGACUGCAAGUGUUAUUUCCAUCUAAUAAAAAUCUGGUCACCAUGAACAUGAAGUGUAUCUUUGGCCUAAAACCCUACAAAUACAUAUCAAUUUCAUCCUUUGAACUCUAAAUCUAUCAGGUAUGACAUCGCAUAUCUCCAAAAUUGCUGUAUAAUAGAUUCAAUAUAGUGAAAAAUAAUCACUCAGUAAUAUUUAGCAACUUAAGUAGGGGUCCCAUUUUUCUUCCUGUUUCCACUGAAAUUUCACUUGGCAUACCUAGUUUCCAUUAAAAUCUAGGUGCUCUCAAUUCUCUGAAAUAUUUAAGUACACAAACAUGAGUAAGAAUGAUUAAUAUCAAGGAAAACAAGCUUCAACCAUAAUGAGCUAAUAUCUUUAGUAGAAUAUCUCAAAAUGAGCAGAUGAGUGAUCGCAUUCCCUAAGAGAAGGCCGGAUGAUAGGGAUUGAUCUGGAACUUUGAAAUGUGAAAUAUGAAGGAUCAUUAAAUGUAUAGGAUUACUUGACUUUAUAAAGCCAAUCAGUAGCCAAAAAGGAAACCUUUUGUAUAGGUGGUUGUGAAGCUCCAUUAGUGUAAUAUUUUAAUCAUGAAUUGCAUGCAUAGUAGGUUAGUUCAUUUAUGUCACAUCUAAAAUAGAAAUGACAUAUUCCACACUUCACAUCACAUAAACCCCUCCCAAGAAGAUUGUCCUGUAAGGCUGUAACUAAGAAAAUCUUUUUUGUGAGGCCCUAGGUUUAAAAUUAGGGAACAAGAAUAAUUAGCAAUAUCAAGAUCAGUGGACCGAGCGCUAGCAAUGAAGCAGCAAGUAAAGCUCUCUGGUAUGGUCUUUCUUAAGAUCUUAAUGAUCAGGAAACGAUCACCAUAUUGGCAGAUAACUACUUCCAGACCUCUCUCUCGAACAGUUUGAUUGGACCAUCAAAUGCUCGCUAGAUUGGUUCAGGAUUCAACUCUGCUGCAUUACUGAAAGACCAUUUAUCAUCAUUGUCAUGUAGCAAUGACGAUUUAGAACAUUUGGUUGCAAAAUUCAGAUGUUAUUAAAGUUCAGUGCAAGCAUCUAUAACAAUUAUCAAUAUCAACUUCAAUUUCUUUUUCAUGAGCACAAUGUAAUGUCUAAAGAAAAUUUAAGCGGACAUAUGUAACAAUGCAAGAAGAUAGCAUCCAAGAGAUAGGAUACUCCAUGAGUAUUGUUAGGAUGGAAAACUAGAGAAACAACAAAGUAGGGAACAGGAAGCUUACAUGGGAUAAAGCUUGUUGUUUACAUGAAAUGCAUAAACUAAUUAUUAGCUGCCAUUGUUUUAAUUAUAUGUUUCAUAUGCUCUAAGAAGACAUUAGGCUAUGUAUAUAAAAUAUUUAUUGAUUAACAAAUAUUCCCAGAGAGAUGCAAAACAUAUUUAUAAGGUUUCCUUCAUGGCAUCUUAAAACUCAUAAACAUUUUUGCUAAAUCUUUAUGGGAACAAUUCUUAUACAUUUAAGAUAGAACAAACAACACAAAUUCUUCGUGUCUUCUCAAAUGUCAACCCUCUAGCAAUUAGUACCAGCAACUUUCAACAAGAGAAGGUCAUAGCAUGAAACCAAGAAGUUCCAAAUGGUCUACUGGGAGACCUAUCUUGAUCACUGUAGUUUAAGUCCAUGCAACUAGUGUGACACCUAGCCUCAUUGGGCCGGCUUGUUGGCCUGGCCCGAUGCCAAAAGACCCAUGUUGCACUCAAGCAAGGCAGACCCCUGCUCGAUCUUGGAUGGAGGAGGAAGAGUCCUCCUACUUGGACUCCGUCGGAGGCUAGAAAAUCCUAGCCUUCAUUCUAUAUUAAGGCCUCCCCUCCCCCUCACGAUCCUUCACCGUCGAGUAGUGCCCCUCGUUCUCCCGCUUUCCUCCUCUUUCGUCCUUCUAUUUUGCCGGUCCCUAACAUUGUGCUCGUUGGAAAUCAGAGUCGAAGAGCUCACCGGAGCCCAAGGUAAGCCUCGAUUCUUCUUCCUCUUUCAUUUCCUCUAGGAUAGGAUCCUUUGCCAGAUAGAUUGUCGAUAAAUUGGUCGGAAAUUGUUCGAGUCCACUUUUCUUGUUUUUUCGGCCCCUCUAUUCCUUUUUUCCAGCCACCGAUGCUGCUGACUCUUGAUGCCGAACCUUUGGUCAAUUCCCCCGACCUCCCAUUGACUCGUCCCAUCGGAGCCAUGGCCGCCGGUGAAAGGCCAACGGCCAAAAACGAGGAAGAAGCUCUGGUUUCCUUGUUUUCUCGUCAGCUGAUUACUAUCACCGAUUGUCCACCAUUGUCAGCCGCUCUUCGCUGCCCGCAACCGUCACCUACUGCCACCUUGCUGGACCACCACAAACACAGCCGCACUCUCACCCCUCUCUUCCCCUAAUUUGCCCAGAAAGAAGGGAAAAAAGCAAGAGAAGACUUGUCCUCUUCUCUCUCUCCUAUUUCUCUUUCUUGUUUCUCUUUCUUUUUCCUCUUUCUCUCUAAGCAAGACUCGGGGAUCUUAGUUUAGAGUUUUGUUUCCCUUUGCUUAGAUCCAAGUUGACCCUAGAGUGGAGGCCUUGAACCACCUCAGUAUCCGGGCGGCAUGCCGACCCAUUAUCUCGGUCCUUGCUGAGUCCCUCUGGAAUUCGUUCACCAUUAAUCUUCAUUGAGUCACUUAAAUCAUGUAUGAUUUUUUACCCAAUUGAGUUCACUUUGUUCGGACCGAUCCGGAUAGUUGGGCGCUGCCACCUGACCAACCUUGCCCUUCCUCCACCCUGAUUUGGGUAUGAAGCUACAUCCUCAAUAGUACCUUAAUUUCUAACUUUGCUUAGCUUCUAAGACAAUGAUAAAAUUAAUCAUUAUUUAAUGAUACCAAAAUAGGUGAAUUUGAUCCGUCUAACUAAGUGGGAUUUUGAAGCAACAAGAGGUAACUUAACGCUUCAAAGUAUAGCUUCUUAAUAACUUUUAAAAAAUUAUAAUUAGUUUAAUUAAUUUGAUUAUGAUCUCUAUUUAUGUUUGAUUAGACAGGUCAAGCAUGCUAUUAUUACUGUCAUAAUUAUUUUAAAAUAUGAUAGUAUUUUAAUAUUCUUAUAAGAUGAAUUUCGGAAACUAUGACUGGAUAAUUUACGAAAUUUGUUUUAUCUAUGUAUUCUCAGCAUGGCUAUAAUCUAACUCCGUUAAUGGGGAUUAUACGUUGGUUCUGUCGACUUAUAAUCUGGAGAAACUGGUUUUGACACCAAGCCAUCAGUGAUUAGAAUAGCGGUAUCUGUUAUUUGUCACUUUGUGCACCUUGUAUCUGCUAUCUGAGCUAUGCCACUGUGUUACAUGGCCAUAGCCUGAUGUUGGAUCUUUAUCAGUUUACGAAAAAUAAAUUUUGAAAAGAAAUAUGUAUUAUUCGAGAUUUGAUUUAGCCCAGUCAGUAUCAAGGUAUUUGAUUAUUUAUUUGUUUGGCAUGCUUAGAUCCCACUUUGAUGUAUUAUAUUACUUACCGGGAUGGUGUAGCUCAUUAUUCUUUUUUUUUAUUUUUCAGAUCCUGAAUCAUGAUUACUUGAAACUUGGGGGAGUGCGCUAGAUCUUUCGAAGAAUAUUUGUGAUAAUUUGAAUUUCUAGCUCAGUUUAGUUUAGAUUAGUUCACUUUAGUUUGAAUAUUUUAUUUGAUUUCAAGAAUAAUAAUUAGUUAGAAUAUUUUGACUUAUGUUACCUUGGGAUAAUUGAUUUUUAGAAUGAUUUGAUUAGAUCCUGAUUAAAGCAAUUUCCAAGGAUCGAAGAAUUAUUAUUGUUCUGAUGUUAUAAUGAUUUGAUCAGUAGCCUUGUAUGCUUGUAUAGUUUGCACUACAAGUAUGCAGUGUCUGUUAUGCCCAGGGUUCGAGGCGUGACAACCAGGAAGAAACAAUGUAAAUUUUUCAGACUUUUGGAAGAGGAAAUAUGAGAUAGUUGGAUAAAAGGAACUGUCUAUAUCUUGAACACACAAAUCAGAAGCUAAAGGGUUAAAUUGAAAUCCAUUCCCAAUUGCACCGCUUACAAAAAAAUAUUUAAUAUAAAUUGCACUUCUAUUGCAAUUAUAGCACGAUCAACAUAGCAUCAGAGAAGUGCAUCACAAGUCAUAAUGGUUUUCAAUUAUAAUUCUGGAAAUUGCGGUUUUAUGGUUUGUCAUUUAGAAUUUCCAUUAGAUAAGUUAAUAUAAGCCCUAAUGAGGCACCUUUAUCAUCUUUAUCUAUUAGCAUCGAGCAAGUGGAAAGGGAUGGUGCUAGCGGUAGUACUCCAUUUUGUUGGGAUUUCGACACUAAGACAAGAGUUGGGUUGCUGAAACCAGCCCCAAAUGGGGCGCCCCAUCCAGGAUAGGUUGGUACCUGCCAGUACAGAUCUCAAUUUGACCAGGAUGAAAUGAUUGGUACUGACUUAUACAAUGUUAGUAUUUUCUGUACGAGGUUGUCCUAUUCCUUUAAGGGGGGGCGCAAUUGGGUUUAGAGAUGCCUUUAAGCAUCUCGUGAGGCCCUUCCGACACCAUAAAGUGAGAGAGAGUAAGAGAGGAGGGGAGAGAGAGAGAAGGGGAGGAAAAAGGGGAAAAGGAAAGGGUCUUUUUCCCUCACACUAGGAAGGGAGAGUUAGCACUGCAGCAGGGGAGUGCACUCCAUUUGGGUGAGGCCUUCCAAUCUCCUUUUUUUUGGCUGAAAUUGGCAAAAAUAAGAAAAGAUGAAAACCCAUACCGAAUUUUUCUUAUUCAAAAUUUUGGAUAUAUCUAGGGUGGUGACUUUUACUUUUUCAACCAAUAUCUUAAUUUUUAGGAAAUAUAUAUUUGUAUCAAAAUGUUAACAAAAGAUAGAUCAUAUGGGAAUUUUGUCUGAAAAUGUAGCAUGCUAGUAUUCAUAGUGCGCACAUGUAACAAUUUUCAUGACUAGAAUAUCUAAUUUAAAUUAUUAAUAAUAUUUUGCCUAAUCUUUUAAUCAAGAAAAUAAUUAAAAAAAACAAAAAUUCCUUUAAUAUCUACAAAAUUAUCAGCAAAUGUCCUUAAGUAUAAAUGCAAUUUUUAAAUUUUAUUAUCAUACAUUCGGUAAUUGAUGUAUUUUUUCUUACUUUUAGAUUAUAAAAAAAUAGUUUGAAAAAUGAUAUUCAAAUGUAAUAAACAUGGAACAUGGAUAAUUAACAAGAUUUCUAAAAUUGCCAUCUUGUAUUUUAUUGAUUAACAUAUAAUUUUUUAUUUUCAACUUAUUUUUAAGGAAAAUUACUAAAUAAUGUAUAAAAAUGAUUUAAUUGUUAAAAUAUGGAACAUGUGUUUGAGAAUAAUUCUAAACUAAAUAUCUUACAUUUUGUUCAUAAAUAAAAAUAGCAUAACUUUUAUAAAUUUUUAGAUGAAAAGAUAAACGUGAAUAAUAUGAUAAAACUCUAACAACAUGAACUAUGAAUCAAAAAAUGUUAUUCGUGAUUCUUGAUCUGAGUUGAUGAUAUGUAGGGAGCACAAACUUUUACGUUGGCCAAGGGCUUCUAGUAAGAAGGGAUAGAAAGAGCCCCACAUUAGGUGGUGUCAUGGAACGAUGGACUUAGAAAACACCAUCGGUAUGCAGUUGUUGUGGCAUGGACAAUAAAGGAGACAGGGUCAUCAAGUUGAAGCAACAUUUGGCAGGCAGCUAUAGUGACGUGCAAAAGUAUAGCAAGUGCCUGGGGAGGUGAGAUGAGGCGAUGGAGACUGACCAGAUACAAGCAGGCUCAACAGAAUGCAAAGACAACCAAGGCCAAUGAUUACAAUGAUAGAGAUGAUGAUGACAAUAAGAUUGAGCAAUAUAAUCCAUAUGAUAUGGAGGUUGCUAAGACGCAAGAGGUCUUCUAGGCCUCAAAGUGGGCAUAGUGGGAGUAUGAGGAUCUAUGUGGCAUCAUAAACAAUUUGGAUCUUCACAUUAUGAGGUGUAGAGGGUUCAGUACAUCCAAGGACAGCUCCACACCACGUAGGACCCGAUCAACUAGAGGUUGGAGAGAUCAAAUCCCUAUUUAGUACAUUUCAAAACAGGAAAAGAAAGAAUACUUGUUAGGUCCCACCAUUUAUGAUAUUGAUCUAGUAGCCUACCCAGACCCAACAGCUAAACAGCCUCCGACAGAUGACUACAUCAAGAAAAAUAAGAAGUAUUCGAAACAUGCUGCCAUAGCCAAGUCGUUCCAUGAUAGUCAAAUACAACCUUGGGCUACAACGAACAGUUUCUUCCUGGACAGAUUCUUCCAUGGACGUGAGUUAUUAUUAUUAUUUUUCAAUACUACAUUGUAUUUGCCAUUCUUCACUCAAAUGUUUUAGUUGAUUGAUAACUAAGUGCCCGCACCAAAAUCGACAUUCAAUUAUCAUAUAGCCUUUAAAAACAUCCUUUAAAUAUUAAAAGUACAAAACAAGCUAGCCUAAACAUCUCAUCAUGCAUAAAAACCCAAAAAGUUAAUAAAAAGAAAAAACAAUAAAAAAAAUUGAUUUCUAGCCAUCCCACUAUGGUACCAUACCAAUCUGGCUAGCAAUUGGUAGCAUGCCUGAUAUCGGUUUUUAAAACCUUGGUAGCAAUAAAAUUAAUUUAGUGCAAACAUAUGGCGUAGCAUUUAUCCUCAAGAAUUUGGUUCUACUAUAUGAUUCAAGAUGAGUGUGAGACUCAAAAAAGUUACAAGACUGAAUUAAACCAUGUAUGAGAACACGAUCCGGGACAAAAUAGGCUGUUAGCUUGGCGUGUAUAAAGAACCAAAUUAUAUCAACCCAGCAACCAAAAAAAGAUCUACCAUACACCAGUAGUGAAUAGGAGAAUCAAGAAAUGCAUGUUGGAUGAAGGGGCGCAUCAAAAUACGUUGAGAUAAAAAAGAUAGACUACAGGGGAUAGAAUUCGAUGAAGAUAUCUUAAGGGAGGUAGAAAAUUGGCAUUAAAUGUUAUCCUUACAAAACAAGUUUAUUAAAGGACAAAAUUAUAGGGUUGCUCCAAGACAUUCAUGGGCAUUCACUUUUUGCCAAUGCAUCUCAAGCAAGUAGAGUUAAAAAAUAUCCAUAGAUAUUGUCUAAUCUUGAUUGGGAAAGUUCUAAUUUUCACUGCAAGUGCCAGAGUUAAAGCUCUAAGAGAUAACAAGCACUUAACCAAGAGUAUGGUAUGCUGUACCGGUCGGUACCGGACAUACUGUAUCGGUAUCGGUGGGUACUAAUACCGGUACGGCAGUGUCGGUAUGCCUAACGUACCGCAUACCGUACUAUACCGACACUCAGUACGCCUAUCUAGUAUGGCAUCAGUACGGGGUCCGGUACCGGUACGGUGAACCUUGACCAAUAGUCUUUUAUCGGUGUAAGUCACCAUACUAUCCAGCUAAACAACAGCAAGCAAUUUGUUGUAGAUUCCUUUGAACUUGUUUUGCAUGCUCCCUCUAAUUUCUUCAUUUAUUGCCUCCCAUGUGCCACUACAUAACAAUAAGAUAUCAUAUGGUGCGUGACAAUCGCAUGCCAAGAGACCAAAUCAAACUACAGGGAUUCCAAUUGUAGUUACAAGGCAAAUUCUCACUCAAGAAGUACUUUCCGAGGAAACCGAAUCAGGAAACCAAUGCAAUUCUUUUGGGAAACUUGCCCAAAAACCUGAGUUUGGAAAGAAAAGAAACUUCUACAAUUGGGUUCCCAAUGGAUAAGCUAUAAAGAAAAGGAUAAAUCUAAGUCAAAGAUAUUCCUUGAUAUUUUGAUAAAUCCAUUGUGAUAAAUCACUGAUUUAUUUGUUUUGAGGAAAACAAAAAUAUGC
RNAcentral lists this long non-coding RNA (11251 nucleotides) under Phoenix dactylifera (date palm). RNAcentral describes it as "long non-coding RNA (PDAC_LNC000638)". Lineage: Eukaryota; Viridiplantae; Streptophyta; Magnoliopsida; Arecales; Arecaceae. The record is from RNAcentral.